Molecule: ribosomal RNA, 467 nt
Filed under: Halomonas sp. M17-C12
Lineage: Bacteria; Pseudomonadati; Pseudomonadota; Gammaproteobacteria; Oceanospirillales; Halomonadaceae
Also listed under: 1 other name
Description: bacterial SSU rRNA
Rfam family: Bacterial small subunit ribosomal RNA
Source: RNAcentral
UUGAGYUUGAUCAUGGCUCAGAUUGAACGCUGGCGGCAGGCCUAACACAUGCAAGUCGAGCGGAAACGAUGGAAGCUUGCUUCCAGGCGUCGAGCGGCGGACGGGUGAGUAAUGCAUGGGAAUCUGCCCGAUAGUGGGGGAUAACCUGGGGAAACCCAGGCUAAUACCGCAUACGUCCUACGGGAGAAAGCAGGGGAUCUUCGGACCUUGCGCUAUCGGAUGAGCCCAUGUCGGAUUAGCUUGUUGGUGAGGUAAUGGCUCACCAAGGCGACGAUCCGUAGCUGGUCUGAGAGGAUGAUCAGCCACAUCGGGACUGAGACACGGCCCGAACUCCUACGGGAGGCAGCAGUGGGGAAUAUUGGACAAUGGGCGAAAGCCUGAUCCAGCCAUGCCGCGUGUGUGAAGAAGGCCCUCGGGUUGUAAAGCACUUUCAGUGGGGAAGAAAGCCUUGGGAUUAAUACUACCCG